This 821-nucleotide ribosomal RNA is filed under the name uncultured Oxalobacteraceae bacterium. RNAcentral describes it as "bacterial SSU rRNA". It matches the Rfam family "Bacterial small subunit ribosomal RNA", at positions 12 to 830 of the family's 1533-position model. The record is from RNAcentral. Lineage: Bacteria; Pseudomonadati; Pseudomonadota; Betaproteobacteria; Burkholderiales; Oxalobacteraceae.
AGAGAUCAUCCCUCAAUUGAACGCUGGCGGCAUGCCUUACACAUGCAAGUCGAACGGCAGCGCGGGGCAACCUGGCGGCGAGUGGCGAACGGGUGAGUAAUAUAUCGGAACGUACCCUGGAGUGGGGGAUAACGUAGCGAAAGUUACGCUAAUACCGCAUACGAUCUAAGGAUGAAAGCAGGGGACCGCAAGGCCUUGUGCUCCUGGAGCGGCCGAUAUCUGAUUAGCUAGUUGGUGGGGUAAAGGCCUACCAAGGCAUCGAUCAGUAGCUGGUCUGAGAGGACGACCAGCCACACUGGAACUGAGACACGGUCCAGACUCCUACGGGAGGCAGCAGUGGGGAAUUUUGGACAAUGGGCGCAAGCCUGAUCCAGCAAUGCCGCGUGAGUGAAGAAGGCCUUCGGGUUGUAAAGCUCUUUUGUCAGGGAAGAAACGGUGAAGGCUAAUAUCCUUUGCUAAUGACGGUACCUGAAGAAUAAGCACCGGCUAACUACGUGCCAGCAGCCGCGGUAAUACGUAGGGUGCAAGCGUUAAUCGGAAUUACUGGGCGUAAAGCGUGCGCAGGCGGUUUUGUAAGUCUGUCGUGAAAUCCCCGGGCUCAACCUGGGAAUUGCGAUGGAGACUGCAAGGCUAGAAUCUGGCAGAGGGGGGUAGAAUUCCACGUGUAGCAGUGAAAUGCGUAGAGAUGUGGAGGAACACCGAUGGCGAAGGCAGCCCCCUGGGUCAAGAUUGACGCUCAUGCACGAAAGCGUGGGGAGCAAACAGGAUUAGAUACCCUGGGUAGUCCACGCCCUAAACGAUGUCUACUAGUUGUCGGGUUU